CAGAGAGGUCCCUGACUGUGCAUCAACCUUCUUUUCCGCAGUGCAGCAUGCAGAGGAAAAUACCUGCUCCCAGGAAUCAGAGAACAUACCAUACCACAUGUCGGACCAUUCCCAGUAUUUUGGGCAAGGUGCAAUCAGUACCUGAAAGGACACAAAUCUCCAGUAAAACACCUGCUGCUGUUGUGAUUUCACAUGAAGCCACUGAAAGGAUACAGACAUUCGGGAGGAAGUCAAAAGGAAGAGAUCUAUUAUCUUAGCCAUGGAUAUUUCACUGAGGUGCUUUACAUAGAACAAUACAUCAGUCUGGACUGCAGGAAGAUAAAGACCAGAAUCUUCUAUUCAAAAUCCAGCGAAGGACCAUUUAUAACUUAAAGAGACACGGAAAUCCUGCUGAAUUCCAAACCCCAAAUUACAUACAGCAUGAACGAAAUCCUGCCCAAACAGUACGACAGCGGCAUAGAUCAGCACCAGGUUGUUGAAGACCUCUGUGGUGAAACUGUACCUGGAGAGAACACAGAGUGCAGUCCAGCCUGAGUGGUCCAUGUAGUCAUACUCCACCACCAGGGAGAACUGCUGCCAGGGGAAAUCAGCGUGGAUGUGCUGACUGCAGGCUACCACACAUGAACUUCGCUGGAGACUGACAUCCAAACAGCCAGAAUGUUAAAAAAAAUCUCACAAAUGUUUUAGACAGUACAUUCUGACUUCAUGAGCUGCAGCUCUGCUUACUUAUGGAAAUUAAAGUGAUGCUGAUUCUUGGGAUAUAUUGCAUGUACACUAACACAAUAUAUACCAGUAGCCUCUUGAGGCAAAGACUGUCACUGAAUUGGCACCACAGGAUUAAGGUUCUGGAAAUUCCCCAGUGUGGUGAAGGCUGCACUCAUAUGAUUGAAGAAUAAUGUCUACCAAGGACUUUGUCAGACCAAAGCAGGUCCACCUGACGUAACAUUAAAGAAAUCAGACUCAGCUUGAUGGCAAGACAUGCGCAUGAAAUCUGACACUUUAGAUGUUAUUUAAAGAAACCAGAGAAGGUAGUACAUUAGAUGAAUCCCUUAAUAUUGGAUUUUUUUUAUAAAUUAACUAGAAAACCAUAGUAUGCAGUAAGAACACUACUGAAACCCUCA
Non-coding RNA from Lepisosteus oculatus (spotted gar), 1121 nucleotides. The record is from RefSeq and is a predicted model, not a curated record. NCBI's taxonomy places the organism in Eukaryota, Metazoa, Chordata, Actinopteri, Semionotiformes, Lepisosteidae.